AGAGUUUGAUGGUGGCUCAGGAUGAACGCUGGCGGCGUGCCUAACACAUGCAAGUCGAGCGAAGCACUUUGCUUAGAUUCUUCGGAUGAAGAGGAUUGUGACUGAGCGGCGGACGGGUGAGUAACGCGUGGGUAACCUGCCUCAUACAGGGGGAUAACAGUUAGAAAUGACUGCUAAUACCGCAUAAGACCACAGCACCGCAUGGUGCGGGGGUAAAAACUCCGGUGGUAUGAGAUGGACCCGCGUCUGAUUAGCUAGUUGGUAAGGUAACGGCUUACCAAGGCGACGAUCAGUAGCCGACCUGAGAGGGUGACCGGCCACAUUGGGACUGAGACACGGCCCAAACUCCUACGGGAGGCAGCAGUGGGGAAUAUUGCACAAUGGGGGAAACCCUGAUGCAGCGACGCCGCGUGAGCGAAGAAGUAUUUCGGUAUGUAAAGCUCUAUCAGCAGGGAAGAAAAUGACGGUACCUGACUAAGAAGCACCGGCUAAAUACGUGCCAGCAGCCGCGGUAAUACGUAUGGUGCAAGCGUUAUCCGGAUUUACUGGGUGUAAAGGGAGCGUA
This 565-nucleotide ribosomal RNA is filed under the name uncultured Blautia sp. Its description in RNAcentral is "bacterial SSU rRNA". It matches the Rfam family "Bacterial small subunit ribosomal RNA", at positions 8 to 573 of the family's 1533-position model. The record is from RNAcentral. Lineage: Bacteria; Bacillati; Bacillota; Clostridia; Lachnospirales; Lachnospiraceae.